This 74-nucleotide small nucleolar RNA is filed under the name Intoshia linei. The record is from RNAcentral. Lineage: Eukaryota; Metazoa; Orthonectida; Rhopaluridae.
AUUUUAUGAUGAAUUGUCAUGCUAAUACUGAUGCACAAUCGUGUGUAUAUGUGUUCAAAUACAAUCUGAAAAUA